Molecule: ribosomal RNA, 253 nt
Filed under: uncultured bacterium
Lineage: Bacteria
Description: partial 16S ribosomal RNA
Rfam family: Bacterial small subunit ribosomal RNA
Source: RNAcentral
UACGGAGGGAGCGAACGUUGUUCGGAUUUACUGGGCGUAAAGGGUGUGUAGGCGGUCUUACAAGUCAGGUGUGAAAGCCCCGGGCUCAACCCGGGAAGUGCACUUGAUACUGUUUGACUUGAGUACUGGAGAGGUUGGUGGAAUUCUCGGUGUAGAGGUGAAAUUCGUAGAUAUCGAGAGGAACACCUGUGGCGAAGGCGGCCAACUGGACAGAUACUGACGCUGAGACACGAAAGCGUGGGGAGCAAACAGG